GACGAACGCUGGCGGCGUGCUUAACACAUGCAAGUCGAACGGUGAAGCGCCUUCCUUUUUGGUGGGUGUGGAUGAGUGGCGAACGGGUGAGUAACACGUGAGUAACCUGCCCCCUUCUUCUGGAUAACCGCAUGAAAGUGUGGCUAAUACGGGAUAUUCUGGGUCUGUCGCAUGAUGGGUCUGGGAAAGAUAUUGUUUCGGUGGGGGAUGGGCUCGCGGCCUAUCAGCUUGUUGGUGGGGUGAUGGCCUACCAAGGCGGUGACGGGUAGCCGGCCUGAGAGGGUCGACGGUCACACUGGGACUGAGACACGGCCCAGACUCCUACAGGAGGCAGCAGUGGGGAAUAUUGCACAAUGGGCGCAAGCCUGAUGCAGCGACGCCGCGGGAGGGAUGGAGGCCUUCGGGUUGUGAACCUCUUUCGCCAGUGAAGCAGGCCUGCCUCGUUUGUGGGUGGGUUGACGGUAGCUGGAUAAGAAGCGCCGGCUAACUACGUG
Molecule: ribosomal RNA, 494 nt
Filed under: uncultured bacterium
Lineage: Bacteria
Description: partial 16S ribosomal RNA
Rfam family: Bacterial small subunit ribosomal RNA
Source: RNAcentral